UACGUAGGGGGCUAGCGUUGUCCGGAUUUAUUGGGCGUAAAGAGCGUGUAGGCGGCCAGGUAGGUCCGUUGUGAAAACUCGAGGCUCAACCUCGAGACGUCGGCGGAAACCAUCUGGCUAGAGUCCGGAAGAGGAGAGUGGAAUUCCUGGUGUAGCGGUGAAAUGCGCAGAUAUCAGGAGGAACACCGAUGGCGAAGGCAGGUCUCUGGGCCAUAACUGACGCUGAGAAGCGAAAGCAUGGGGAGCGAACAGG
Molecule: ribosomal RNA, 253 nt
Filed under: uncultured bacterium
Lineage: Bacteria
Description: partial 16S ribosomal RNA
Rfam family: Bacterial small subunit ribosomal RNA
Source: RNAcentral